UGGAGCAACAUUUAGUAGGGACGUUUGGUUCUUUUUGUUUGCUUGCUCGGCUCUGAGCAGCACUCCAAGCUAUCAGGAAUAGGUGACAGCUUUGAAGGGAGGAGUGGAAACCAGUUACCUCCACCAGCAAGCAUUUUGGCACAACAGAAUGGACUGUGGGAAUACAACAAAAACUGUUCAGAGCAGCAGCUGUGGAGCAAGAAACAAGUGGAAAGACAGCUGGGCAUGCUGUCAUGCCGGGAG
Molecule: long non-coding RNA, 243 nt
Filed under: Phasianus colchicus (ring-necked pheasant)
Lineage: Eukaryota; Metazoa; Chordata; Aves; Galliformes; Phasianidae
Description: lncRNA (ENSPCLG00000018030.1)
Source: RNAcentral